RNAcentral lists this non-coding RNA (31 nucleotides) under Rattus norvegicus (Norway rat). The record is from RNAcentral. Lineage: Eukaryota; Metazoa; Chordata; Mammalia; Rodentia; Muridae.
AACAUUGUCUAGUAUAGCAUACGUGUUUGCC